GUGCGGUUGUUCUUGUAUCGCUCUCGUACGUUGCGUAAUCUCCUAGUGUAUACAAAUUUAAUAUUUUCAAUGUCUAACUGUGUAGUGUGCUCUGCUGAAAUUGUAUUAGCCCCAUCAAUAUCAUGUUCUAACUGCCUAAAAGUCUGGCACGUUAAUUGUGCAAAAAUUUCCAAAGAUGAAUUUGACAAGCUUACCAAACUAAAUGCACCUUGGCACUACAUUGACGUGUGUGCGUUCAGCCGUCGUGGUCGAAAAACCGCGGUCACCGAUUGUUUGCAUAUAUCAUUAUUAUUGUAUUGCGGACGUGACAAUACCGAGACUCAUUAUCGUGCAUGUCUGUGCACUGUGCAGCCACACGAGGAAUGGAAAUACGCUCUAUACAGAAAAAACGAACGAGUUAUGCCAUCUCAGGGGUUCAAAAGCCCCUGGAAGACCCGUUUCUCAACGGAAAAGGUUGAAACCUUUAUCAAAGAAUGGAGAACGGCCGUGGGAACGUUCUCUGGAAAAAUGAGAGGGGUUAUCGUCCAGAAAGGAGUAGUGUCUACGUAACUAAGUACUUGAGUAUUCUUUUGAUGUAUCUUGCGCAAAAAAUUGUCGAUUUUUUCCACUGGAAUACGUUGAUUUCUCGAGAGCUCGAAAAACGCGUGUUGUCACGGCGAAAUUCAAUAACGGACAGCACAUUCGGACUGUAGAAAUCGUGAAAUUGCAUCGAUGAUGAAGGUCGCUGCUGUCGACGUCAAUAAAGGAUAGCAAAACUCCUGUGACGACGCGUACCAACUUCCAAUCCUGACGCAGACACAAUUCUUCGAUCAACAGGGCAAACAGGGCAUUAUGACACUCGCCAUCGAGAAUUUCAAGUGCACAUCAAUGUUUCCUGGUUCGGUAACGGAAGACAUUGUGGACCCGAGUACCUUGCAACCCGAGAUAAUUAACAUCAUCACGAAGGAAAAAUAUCUCGGCGUUAUGGUUGCUACGACACACGAGUUCCGCAGGAACAUGAAAAGACUACCUUAAGCCAAGCGAGCCCGGAUAGACCAGAAGCUGAACCAGAUGUUUGGUUACUACCUUAAUCCUGGGUAACGACCGAUGUUCCUGUCCGUGGAGGAGGAACGGAUAAUUUCCUAUAUAGGAUCUUGCGGUUAAGCUCAAACCGCAUGAAACCAUAUUUUGAGCUCUCUCUCCUCAUAUUUUGAAGUCCUAUGACUAUGAGAUCCUCGUUUAACUCAUAUCGAGGACCAUAACAGAUAGCGCCAGUGACCCGAGUACGAUACGAUACUUUUGAUAUGUUUUUCGUAGUGUCUUGGGAUGAAUUUCUAACUCGCUUAGCAAUAAA
RNA transcript from Sipha flava (yellow sugarcane aphid), 1333 nucleotides. RefSeq lists it as uncharacterized. The transcript has 5 exons. Lineage: Eukaryota; Metazoa; Arthropoda; Insecta; Hemiptera; Aphididae. The record is from RefSeq and is a predicted model, not a curated record.